CCUACGGGAGGCAGCAGUGGGGGAUAUUGCACAAUGGGGGAAACCCUGAUGCAGCGACGCCGCGUGGGCGAAGAAGUAUUUCGGUAUGUAAAGCCCUAUCAGCAGGGAAGAAGAAAUGACGGUACCUGAGUAAGAAGCACCGGCUAAAUACAUGCCAGCAGCCGGGGUAAUACGUAUGGUGCAAGCGUUAUCCGCCUUUCCUGGGUGUAAAGGGAGCGCAGGCGGCACGGCAAGCCUGAUGUGAAAGCCCGCGGCCCAACCGCGGGACUGCAUUGGGAACUACCGGGCUGGAGUGCCGGAGAGGUAGGCGGAAUUCCUAGUGUAGCGGUGAAAUGCGUAGAUAUUAGGAGGAACACCAGUGGCGACGGCGGCCUGCUGGACUGCAACUGACGUUGAGGCCCGAAAGCGUGGGGAGCAAACAGGAUUAGAUACCCUGGUAGUC
Molecule: ribosomal RNA, 442 nt
Filed under: uncultured bacterium
Lineage: Bacteria
Description: partial 16S ribosomal RNA
Rfam family: Bacterial small subunit ribosomal RNA
Source: RNAcentral